RNAcentral lists this ribosomal RNA (155 nucleotides) under Acinetobacter sp. RNAcentral describes it as "partial 16S ribosomal RNA". It matches the Rfam family "Bacterial small subunit ribosomal RNA", at positions 377 to 524 of the family's 1533-position model. Lineage: Bacteria; Pseudomonadati; Pseudomonadota; Gammaproteobacteria; Moraxellales; Moraxellaceae. The record is from RNAcentral.
GGGGACCUGAUCCAGCCAUGCCGCGUGUGUGAAGAAGGCCUUAUGGUUGUAAAGCACUUUAAGCGAGGAGGAGGCUACUUUAGUUAAUACCUAGAGAUAGUGGACGUUACUCGCAGAAUAAGCACCGGCUAACUCUGUGCCAGAGCCGCGGUAAU